RNAcentral lists this ribosomal RNA (250 nucleotides) under uncultured bacterium. Its description in RNAcentral is "partial 16S ribosomal RNA". It matches the Rfam family "Bacterial small subunit ribosomal RNA", at positions 524 to 772 of the family's 1533-position model. The record is from RNAcentral.
UACGAAGGGGGGCUAGCGUUGCUCGGAAUUACUGGGCGUAAAGGGCGCGUAGGCGGAUAUCUAAGUUGGGGGUGAAAUCCCGGGGCUCAACCUCGGAAUUGCCUUCAAAACUGGGUAUCUUGAGUUCGGGAGAGGUGAGUGGAACUCCGAGUGUAGAGGUGAAAUUCGUAGAUAUUCGGAAGAACACCAGUGGCGAAGGCGACUCACUGGCCCGAUACUGACGCUGAGGCGCGAAAGCGUGGGAGGCAAC